This 704-nucleotide long non-coding RNA is filed under the name Homo sapiens (human). Its description in RNAcentral is "HSALNT0279712". The record is from RNAcentral. Lineage: Eukaryota; Metazoa; Chordata; Mammalia; Primates; Hominidae.
UGAAUGAGUCUCACGAGAUCUGAUGGUUUUACAAGGAGAAACUCCUUUCGCUUGGCUCUCUUUCUUUGCCUGCCACCAUCCAUGUAAGAUGUGACUUGUUCCUCCCUGCCCUCCACCAUGAUCGUGAGGCUUCCCCCACCACGUGGAACUACUAUUAAUUUUUAAAAAAUUACGGGAGCCAGCAAAAGUUGAAGGAGAGAGUUACCAUCCCAGGCCUUUUCAAAAGAGGGAAAGCUCUGAGGCAAGCAGGAUGCAGCAGAAGUGGAACCCCUAGGAUGUCCAUCUGAAGAAUUUCAAGAAGAGAUUAUGGAAUUCAAAAAUAAAAAACUUCUUGCAAUUUCACUGAGUACAUCAGUAUUUUAAGAAAAUCUUGUUCUAACCAAUGAUCUCCUUUUGCAUUACUGUAUUUUUAUUAUUGAAGUCCAAUACCUAGAAUGAUUAUAAUUUCCUUUUAGUUAUAGCAAACUUAAUUACAUAAAAAUUUUUUUGAAUUCCUUUUUUACAGACUGUAUUAUGACUUGCACAGACCAUAUACAACCUGCUUGGAUUUUCUGUUCUGUCCUAAACAUCUCUCUUAAACAACAAGAUUCUUUCUCAUACAAAAUUAUUUUUCUUUUAACAUUUCUUACCAAAAAUACCUCCUUGUAACUUUCUUCUUCUUUUUUUUUGAGAUGGAGUAGUCUCGCUCUGUCACCCAGCCUGGA